Molecule: long non-coding RNA, 1960 nt
Organism: Prosopis cineraria
Lineage: Eukaryota; Viridiplantae; Streptophyta; Magnoliopsida; Fabales; Fabaceae
Exons: 8
Source: RefSeq, a predicted model, not a curated record
CUCUAAGAAACUAAAAGGCGAAGCCUCAACAGUCGUCGCUCUGCAACUCAAGCUAUAUGGUUGUUCUCCCCUGGGCUCUUCUUCACGAGGCAUCUCCCGACUUCACGAGAAGUUUGUUGCAGGCGUGAAUGGAGGUCGUGUUUGCCCUGUUCAUGGUGGGGCUCGCAGUUCACCCCUCCUGGCAUCAUCAGAGCAGAGGUUCCCUUUAAGAGGCGAUCCAAUUUGUAUUCCAAUCUUAGCUCGAAAUGAGUUCAGCUGGACUUGUGAUUUGUUGAAAGGUAGAAGGAAAUAUUAUGCAUAUCAAGAAAGCACUUGCAAGCCAUCCAUCAGCAACAGAGUUUCGAUGGAGGAUAAAUCACUUCAAUUGCUCCUUGGAAUGGUUCAAAGGGAUCUUUGAUGGCUUUCUCUUGAAACAAGGAAGGAUUUAUUCCAUUGCACAGCAUACAACUUCACAGACAUGCUGUGCAGGUUAAGUGUGGUACAUAUAUGUGCAGUGAAAACAUCACAUAUAUAUGCUAUCUUAUAACAAGUUGUUUGAGUUAGAAUUUUAUAUCUGAUUUUGAGUAUUCAUACUGCUGCUGCUUAACUUGUUUUUUUAGAUACUUCAACUUCUUUUGGUCAAUGACAAUGGAAGCACAAGAAGUUACAUCUGCAAGCAUAAUUUGGUUUAAAAAGUUGUUUUAAAGUUUUAAUAUUUGGAAAGCUAAAUGCUAUUUUAUGUAUGAUUACUUGUCAAAUUCUAUGGUUUAAGUAGAAAUGAGAAAUUUUGAUAAAUGAUAUGUUAUGAAUGUGUGUUGGAUGUAUUAAGCAUGUUUGGCAUAAUCAUUGUGAAAGGGUAGGAGUUCACCUUAGCGUGUUAUUAAGACAUUGUUUGGAAAUUCAUAUGAUACACUGGCAUCGUGGAGGCCCGGUACUUAAUAUUAUAUUGUUUAGAAGUUUUAGUACUACAAGUAGUAGCUUAGGCAUCGACACCAGUAGUAAUUAUAGACAAGAGGAACAUGUGUGGUACAUAAUAGGUGAAGGUGCUCUUUGUCGAGCUGCCUCCUACUAAUGGUGAGCUUGGACUAAUCCAGUCGUAUAGACUUGGUCCUAUCGAAUUGUCAGCCCACAGAUUUAGUCAGAAGACAUAAAGAGGGUAUAUGAUGGUAUGUUGAUUAUGCAUAUCAUUCUAUAACCAUAUGUGUAGAUUUAUGAGACAUGUUAUAUAAUUUACCAUGCCACUUCAUAUACACACAAAUUGUUCUCACACACAAGUAGUUAAUUAGACUAUUUGGUUAUUGAGUUAUUGACUCACCCUGUGGUUACAUUUUAUAGAUGAAAGCUCUGAUAGGAGUAAGGAAAAGAAAGGUGCAACCAAGCAUUGAGGAGACUAGCUCUCAGUUGUAUAGUCCUUUCAUUUAUUUUUGGUUUGUCAUCAAGGAUACUUCGAGAGAUAGGUGUUUGAAUCCAAAAUCUGUGGUGUCAUUGAGAAAACGCAGAAACUGAAUUGGAAAGGAAAAGAAAGAAAACGCAAGAGAGGGAGAGAGGAAGAAGAGAAGAGAAAGAGAGGGAGUUAGACUUGGAUCCAAGAGUCUUUGCGAUCGUUGCAAGUUCAGUUACACGAUAGGAAUUGUUGGUGGAAUUUGUUCAGAAGUUAAGGAACAAGCGGAGCCCUAUUUUGUACAAGGGGAACCCUUUUGGUACCAAAGGGUUGAGGUCCAGGCGAAGGAUCCAGUGGUGGACGGGAAAGGAGCAAAGCUAGGGGUUUGCUUGUGAUUUAUAAAGAACUGCAACCCCUUUCUUUUGAUCAAAUAUAUUGUAAUGUAUUUAGGAUUAGGGUGCCAGUAUGAUAUGAUUAUAUAUGUGUGUGUGAAUAUGUGUGGAUUGUGUGCUUGUGUAUGAAUUUUUGUUUGUUUGUAGACUUGUGGCUAGGAAACUUGGUUAUGAUGUGUGGUUUUGAUGGAUUUACUUAGUAGGCCAA